GUAGGUGAACCUGCGGAAGGAUCAUUAACAAAUCCUGACCGUCGUCGAGUUUUGUCGACGAUGAAGACACCGUGCACUGGCAACCGGAGAUGGGAGACGACCCGUGUGAGUGAGGUGUGCGGCCGGCCGUGAGUGGGAUGGCGCACUUAAAUCGGUGGGAAUCAUUGUCCACCGACCGCCGGGCCUCCAACGGAGUUCUGCCAUCUUUG
This 209-nucleotide unclassified non-coding RNA is filed under the name Ircinia sp. AM Z3989. RNAcentral's name for it is "sequence contains ITS1, 5.8S rRNA gene, ITS2". Lineage: Eukaryota; Metazoa; Porifera; Demospongiae; Dictyoceratida; Irciniidae. The record is from RNAcentral.